AGCCCAAUAGCAUAAUGGUUAUGCGCCGUCCUUUCCUGGACAGCCCAUGCAUAUUAUGGCGGAGAUCGCAGGUUCGACUCCUGCUUGGGCUU
Molecule: non-coding RNA, 92 nt
Organism: Mycena leptocephala
Lineage: Eukaryota; Fungi; Basidiomycota; Agaricomycetes; Agaricales; Mycenaceae
Source: the annotation of a GenBank genome assembly